Podarcis raffonei (Aeolian wall lizard) is the source of this 493-nucleotide long non-coding RNA. RefSeq lists it as uncharacterized. NCBI's taxonomy places the organism in Eukaryota, Metazoa, Chordata, Lepidosauria, Squamata, Lacertidae. The transcript has 3 exons. The record is from RefSeq and is a predicted model, not a curated record.
AAGCACCACAGAGGUGUGUGGCCUGAUAUGCCCCCAGGGCCAAACAGAGGGCCCUCAUUAGGCCCCUGGGCCUGAGAUCCCCCCACUCCCGGACUGCAGCAACCAUGGACGCAUAAGCUAGCUGGAAUAGGAUGGCGUGCAAUGAACAUUUUCCAUGGGCCUGGACGACAGCAAGUUUAUUCGAAGAAAGGGGGAAAUGAAGAGAACUAGGAAAUAUAAUAUGCUAUCAAAACACAAGGCAGCACUGGAAGUGGGUGAAGCGGGCAGGAGCUGGUGAUGAGGACAUGGAAUGGAGAGCAAAUGUUUUGUGUUGAGAGGCAUCACAUCAAAUUAUCCUGAAACUGAGGAACAUGAUGCACAAUCUGGGUAACAAUUGAGAUGAAUCAACCACCACACUCAGCAAACAAUAUAUAUUGAUAACUCCCCCACUCCACCAGCAAGAUGUAUGUUUUUUAUUAUGUUUUUUUUAUUAUUAAAAAGUAAAUGAAUUGCA